UAAGUAGAAGCUUAAGCCAAGCGCCUGACUGUUAAUUAGGAGACUGUAAAUCUAAAAUUUUACCUACUUAG
Molecule: transfer RNA, 71 nt
Filed under: Haliotis scalaris (staircase abalone)
Lineage: Eukaryota; Metazoa; Mollusca; Gastropoda; Lepetellida; Haliotidae
Description: tRNA-Asn
Rfam family: tRNA
About the family: Transfer RNA (tRNA) molecules are approximately 80 nucleotides in length. Their secondary structure includes four short double-helical elements and three loops (D, anti-codon, and T loops).
Source: RNAcentral